This 420-nucleotide ribosomal RNA is filed under the name bacterium. RNAcentral's name for it is "partial 16S ribosomal RNA". It matches the Rfam family "Bacterial small subunit ribosomal RNA", at positions 355 to 776 of the family's 1533-position model. The record is from RNAcentral.
UGGGGGAUAUUGCACAAUGGGCGAAAGCCUGAUGCAGCGACGCCGCGUGGGGGAUGAAGGCUUUCGGGUUGUAAACCUCUUUCGCUAUCGAACAAGGCCCGCUUAGGGUGGGUUGAGGGUAGGUGGAGAAGAAGCGCCGGCUAACUACGUGCCAGCAGCCGCGGUAAUACGUAGGGCGCGAGCGUUGUCCGGAAUUAUUGGGCGUAAAGGGCUUGUAGGCGGCUUGUUGCGCCUGCUGUGAAAACGCGGGGCUUAACUUCGCGCGUGCAGUGGGUACGGGCAGGCUUGAGUGUGGUAGGGGUGACUGGAAUUACAGGUGUAGCGGUGGAAUGCGCAGAUAUCUGGAGGAACACCGAUGGCGAAGGCAGGUCACUGGGCCAUUACUGACGCUGAGGAGCGAAAGCAUGGGUAGCGAACAGG